This 506-nucleotide ribosomal RNA is filed under the name uncultured bacterium. Its description in RNAcentral is "partial 16S ribosomal RNA". It matches the Rfam family "Bacterial small subunit ribosomal RNA", at positions 29 to 523 of the family's 1533-position model. The record is from RNAcentral.
AGUGAACGCUGGCGGUAGGCCUAACACAUGCAAGUCGAACGGCAGCACAGGAGAGCUUGCUCUCUGGGUGGCGAGUGGCGGACGGGUGAGGAAUACAUCGGAAUCUACUCUGUCGUGGGGGAUAACGUAGGGAAACUUACGCUAAUACCGCAUACGACCUACGGGUGAAAGCAGGGGACCUUCGGGCCUUGCGCGAUUGAAUGAGCCGAUGUCGGAUUAGCUAGUUGGCGGGGUAAAGGCCCACCAAGGCGACGAUCCGUGGCUGGUCUGAGAGGAUGAUCAGCCACACUGGAACUGAGACACGGUCCAGACUCCUACGGGAGGCAGCAGUGGGGAAUAUUGGACAAUGGGCGCAAGCCUGAUCCAGCCAUACCGCGUGGGUGAAGAAGGCCUUCGGGUUGUAAAGCCCUUUUGUUGGGAAAGAAAUCCAGCUGGCUAAUACCCGGUUGGGAUGACGGUACCCAAAGAAUAAGCACCGGCUAACUUCGUGCCAGCCGCCGCCGCGG